UACGUAGGGGCCGAGCGUUGUCCGGAGUUAUUGGGCGUAAAGCGCGCGCAGGCGGCUUCGCGCGCCCGACGUGAAAGCCCCCGGCUUAACCGGGGAGAGUCGUUGGAGACGGCGGAGCUUGAGGGCGGGAGAGGGCGGUGGAAUUCCCGGUGUAGUGGUGAAAUGCGUAGAGAUCGGGAGGAACACCGGUGGCGAAGGCGGCCGCCUGGGCCGACCCUGACGCUGAGGCGCGAAGGCGUGGGGAGCGAACGGG
This 253-nucleotide ribosomal RNA is filed under the name uncultured bacterium. Its description in RNAcentral is "partial 16S ribosomal RNA". It matches the Rfam family "Bacterial small subunit ribosomal RNA", at positions 524 to 776 of the family's 1533-position model. The record is from RNAcentral.